Chiloscyllium plagiosum (whitespotted bambooshark) is the source of this 671-nucleotide non-coding RNA. Lineage: Eukaryota; Metazoa; Chordata; Chondrichthyes; Orectolobiformes; Hemiscylliidae. The record is from RefSeq and is a predicted model, not a curated record.
AUUCUCCAACACAGAUCCUGAGAGAUCCUGGUGGAAGGGGUGGUGCAAAGGAAAGGUUACCUCUUUCUGGAGGAAAGGCAGAGGAGAUCAUAUCACUACUCCAUGGCAGCCUGGUCAGUGCCAUCUCCACAGCUUGGAGAAUAGCCAGUAGCACCAUAAGAAGUUCAGUGACCUUUUCCAACCCGUAAAGGAGAAAACAGCCCACAACAGGACAGAUAGAGCACCAAUGGUUGAAGGGGGUCCUCACCCCCAAAGGAAGAAAGAAUCCUGGUCCUUGCCACAGAGCCACAGGAUGACCACUUCCUGGACUGUAGAGGAUUAUACAAAAAAUGCAGGGCUAAAAGUCAAUGCAACUCUGGUCCGAUUUUCCUGUGUGUGCUGUGAAGGUAAGGUUUAUAAAUCAUUAAACACCGUUAGACAGCAGAUAAAGGAAUGGAAAAGACACUAUCUCACUGUGAGUGAUGCUAAAUAGUUACUGUCAAAAUGAACCAGGACAGAAGAAUUUUAACCAAUCUGCACAGCUGGAAAUCUCAAAUUCAACUACACAAAUCCCAAUGCCAACAUUACUGGUACCAUCCGCUGUAAUAGUUGCAAUGUUCGAUUAUUAGCCCUUUACAAAUGACUCUGUACUGGGCUGUAUACAUAUAUUUUUUAAACUGUUAGCUUUUUUA